GCCGGAAUGGUGAAACUGGUAGACACACAGCGUUCAGAGCGCUGCGGGAGCAAUCCCAUGGAGGUUCAAAUCCUCUUUCCGGCA
This 84-nucleotide transfer RNA is filed under the name bacterium. RNAcentral's name for it is "tRNA-Leu". It matches the Rfam family "tRNA". From Rfam's summary of the family: Transfer RNA (tRNA) molecules are approximately 80 nucleotides in length. Their secondary structure includes four short double-helical elements and three loops (D, anti-codon, and T loops). Further hydrogen bonds mediate the characteristic L-shaped molecular structure. tRNAs have two regions of fundamental functional importance: the anti-codon, which is responsible for specific mRNA codon recognition, and the 3' end, to which the tRNAs corresponding amino acid is attached (by aminoacyl-tRNA synthetases). tRNAs cope with the degeneracy of the genetic code in two manners: having more than one tRNA (with a specific anti-codon) for a particular amino acid; and 'wobble' base-pairing, i.e. permitting non-standard base-pairing at the 3rd anti-codon position. The record is from RNAcentral.